CUGAGAUGAGCUUGCGUACCAUUAGCUAGUUGGUAGGGUAAUGGCCUACCAAGGCUACGAUGGUUAGCUGGUCUGAGAGGAUGAUCAGCCACACUGGAACUGAGAUACGGUCCAGACUCCUACGGCGCAAUGGGCGAAAGCCUGACGGAGCAACGCCGCGUGAGCGAAGAAGGUUUUCGGAUUGUAAAGCUCUGUGAUAUUGGACGAACGAUUUCCCGUAAAUAAUGGGAAAGAAUGACGGUACAAUAAGAGGAAGCCACGGCUAACUACGUGCCAGCAGCCGCGGUAAUACGUAGGUGGCAAACGUUGUCCGGAAUUACUGGGGUAAAGGGCGAGUAGGUGGUUUAUUAAGUCAAGAGUGAAAACUCCGGGCUCAACUCGGAGACUGCUCUACGAAACUGGUAGACUUGAGUGCAAGAGAGGGAAGUGGAAUUCCUAGUGUAGCGGUGAAAUGCGUAGAUAUUAGGAGGAACACCAGUGGCGAAGGCGACUACCUGGACCGAUAUUGACGCUGAGACGCGAAAGCGUGGGUAGCAAACAGGAUUAUACCCUGGUAGUCCACGCCGUAAACGAUGAGUGCUAGGUGUCGGGGGUAUCGACCCCCUCGGUGCCACAGCUAACGCAAUAAGCACUCCGCCUGGGGAGUACGGUCGCAAGACUGAAACUCAAAGGAAUUGACGGGCACAAGCGGUGGAGUAUGUGGUUUAAUUCGACGCAACGCGAAGAACCUUACCAAGGCUUGACAUCCUGUGACAGCCAUAGAAAUAUGGACUUCUUAGUUUACUAAGACACAGAGACAGGUGGUGCAUGGUUGUCGUCAGCUCGUGUCGUGAGAUGUUGGGUUAAGUCCCGCAACGAGCGCAACCCCUACAGCCAGUUGCCAGCACGUAAUGGUGGGAACUCUGGCAGAACUGCCGUUGACAAAACGGAGGAAGGUGGGGAUGACGUCAAAUCAUCAUGCCCCUUAUGUCUUGGGCUACACACGUACUACAAUGGCCUGAACAGAGGGAAGCGAAACUGCGAAGUUAAGCGAACCCCUUAAAACAGGUCCCAGUUCGGAUUGUAGGCUGCAACUCGCCUACAUGAAGUCGGAGUUGCUAGUAAUCGCGGAUCAGCAUGCCGCGGUGAAUACGUUCCCGGGCCUUGUACACACCGCCCGUCACACCAUGGGAGUUGGGAGCACCCAAAGCCAGCGAGGUAACCGCAAGGAGCCAGCUGUCCAAGGUGAGACCAAUGACUGGGGUGAAGUCGUAACAAGGUAACC
Molecule: ribosomal RNA, 1264 nt
Filed under: uncultured bacterium
Lineage: Bacteria
Description: bacterial SSU rRNA
Rfam family: Bacterial small subunit ribosomal RNA
Source: RNAcentral